This is a long non-coding RNA of Coffea eugenioides, 176 nucleotides long. RefSeq lists it as uncharacterized. The record is from RefSeq and is a predicted model, not a curated record. The transcript is spliced from 2 exons. Lineage: Eukaryota; Viridiplantae; Streptophyta; Magnoliopsida; Gentianales; Rubiaceae.
CUAGGGUUUUAUGUGCGCCGAGAGUGUUAUAUAAACCAUUGCUCUGGUGCUGGAGGAGGAGCCGCCGCACCAGCUGCUUUACUUUGCUCUUCAUCGUCGCUAAACAUGCCGAAGCAAAUACACGAGAUUAAGGAUUUCCUUCUCACUGCUAGAAGGAAGGAUGCGCGUUCCGUGAA